RNAcentral lists this ribosomal RNA (253 nucleotides) under uncultured bacterium. RNAcentral describes it as "partial 16S ribosomal RNA". It matches the Rfam family "Bacterial small subunit ribosomal RNA", at positions 524 to 776 of the family's 1533-position model. The record is from RNAcentral.
GACGAAGGUGGCGAGCGUUGUUCGGAAUCACUGGGCAUAAAGCGCACGUAGGCGGUGUCAUAAGUCGGGUGUGAAAUCCCUCGGCCUAACCGAGGAACUGCGCCCGAUACUGUGAUGCUUGAGGACCAGAGGGGUGCAUGGAAUUUCCGGUGGAGCGGUGAAAUGCGUUGAUAUCGGAAGGAACUCCGGCGGCGAAAGCGAUGCACUGGCUGGUUUCUGACGCUGAGGUGCGAAAGCCAGGGGAGCAAACGGG